This is a non-coding RNA of Carassius carassius (crucian carp), 729 nucleotides long. The record is from the annotation of a RefSeq genome assembly. NCBI's taxonomy places the organism in Eukaryota, Metazoa, Chordata, Actinopteri, Cypriniformes, Cyprinidae.
AAAUGUUACACAUUUCAGCUGCAGCUUUAAUGCUCUUUGGGAUGGGUUUUCUACAAGUGACGUUUUCAAUAGCAAGUAUACAGGCUCUUCCAGGACAAAAUGUUACUAUGUGGUGUUCACACAAUAUUCGUGUUUCUGGAUAUCUGUAUUGGUACAAACAAACAGACGGGGAUGUACCCAUUACUAUUGUGUACAUGUUAUACACUGAAAGUCUUCAGAAGGUUGAGCCAAAUUAUUUUAACAGUUUCACAAAAGAUCACAUGGUCAUGGUCCUGGACCAGUUCAGCAAAAGCACCACCCUAACAAUUAAGAAAGUGAAAAUGUCUGAUUCUGGUUUCUACUUUUGUGGAGCUGGGGGUCAUGACAGGAAAUUUGGCAAUGGAACAAUACUUCAAGUGAAAGAGAAAAAUUACACAGGAACCUCAAAAAAGGGUAUGUCAUUUUACCAUUUUACAGUUUUUAAAAUUAAAACUGCAGGUGUUUAAAAUUUACUAUUGUUCUGGUUUAAUUUGUUGAUUCAGAUUACGUGGGAAAUUAAUAUAUAAAAUGUGUUCUUUGUGGCAUCACUUAAAAUGUAUUUGAAUUUUUAAAUUAUGUCCACUCUUUUACAGAUCAUGAGCAGUCAUCCGUGUCUACUGAGUACUGUUCUAGAGGCAUCUAUUUCAAACUGACCCUCCUAUUUGGUGGAAUAAUUUUUUUUUCAUGCAUUGUUCCUCUUAUUUUGGCGAU